Molecule: long non-coding RNA, 202 nt
Organism: Cydia amplana
Lineage: Eukaryota; Metazoa; Arthropoda; Insecta; Lepidoptera; Tortricidae
Exons: 2
Source: RefSeq, a predicted model, not a curated record
AACGAUGAAACAUUGAAGUGUGUUUUUUUUUUGUAAAAUGAAUAAUUAACUAGCAAUUUGCUUGAACAAAACUAUCUACAGAAGUUAGAGCGUUUUGUCACUUUUCAGUACUUUGGAGGCCAAUUUCUCCCAGUAGGUUGAGUAUGGGCAGCUAAAAAAAAUACGUGUCUGUUAUUUUAGACUACUCUUUAACUGUUAUAGA